AUCUUAGGGAGCUACCAUUUGAUUUUUAUGGGGGGGCUAGGAUGAAAUUUGAAAAAAAUAGGCAGGACAGGAGUUUUGAUAUAAAAAAAAAAGGCAGGAUGAGACACUUGGUAAAAAAAAAAGGCAGGAUGACAAUUUGUGUAAAAAAAGUCAGGAUAACUAGUAAAAAAAAAAGGCAGGACCGAAUAGAGUAAAAAUAAAAAGCAGACAGAGAUUACAACUAAAAAAAAAAGCAGGACAAAAUUUUUCAUCCUAGCCCCCCCAUAAAAAUCAAAUGGUAGCUCCCUUAU
This 290-nucleotide long non-coding RNA is filed under the name Mytilus galloprovincialis (Mediterranean mussel). The record is from RNAcentral. Lineage: Eukaryota; Metazoa; Mollusca; Bivalvia; Mytilida; Mytilidae.